UUGUGAACUCGAAGAGUAGGGCGGGACACGUGGUAUCCUGUCUGAAUAUGGGGGGACCAUCCUCCAAGGCUAAAUACUCCUGACUGACCGAUAGUGAACCAGUACCGUGAGGGAAAGGCGAAAAGAACCCCGGCGAGGGGAGUGAAAAAGAACCUGAAACCGUGUACGUACAAGCAGUGGGAGCACCUUCGGGUGUGACUGCGUACCUUUUGUAUAAUGGGUCAGCGACUUAUAUUCUGUAGCAAGGUUAACCGUAUAGGGGAGCCGCAGGGAAACCGAGUCUUAACUGGGCGUUAAGUUGCAGGGUAUAGACCCGAAACCCGGUGAUCUAGCCAUGGGCAGGUUGAAGGUUGGGUAACACUAACUGGAGGACCGAACCGACUAAUGUUGAAAAAUUAGCGGAUGACUUGUGGCUGGGGGUGAAAGGCCAAUCAAACCGGGAGAUAGCUGGUUCUCCCCGAAAGCUAUUUAGGUAGCGCCUCGUGAACUCAUCUUCGGGGGUAGAGCACUGUUUCGGCUAGGGGGUCAUCCCGACUUACCAACCCGAUGCAAACUACGAAUACCGAAGAAUGUUAUCACGGGAGACACACGGCGGGUGCUAACGUCCGUCGUGAAGAGGGAAACAACCCAGACCGCCAGCUAAGGUCCCAAAGUCAUGGUUAAGUGGGAAACGAUGUGGGAAGGCACAGACAGCCAGGAUGUUGGCUUAGAAGCAGCCAUCAUUUAAAGAAAGCGUAAUAGCUCACUGGUCGAGUCGGCCUGCGCGGAAGAUGUAACGGGGCUAAACCAUGCACCGAAGCUGCGGCAGCGACACUAUGUGUUGUUGGGUAGGGGAGCGUUCUGUAAGCCUGCGAAGGUGUGCUGUGAGGCAUGCUGGAGGUAUCAGAAGUGCGAAUGCUGACAUAAGUAACGAUAAAGCGGGUGAAAAGCCCGCUCGCCGGAAGACCAAGGGUUCCUGUCCAACGUUAAUCGGGGCAGGGUGAGUCGACCCCUAAGGCGAGGCCGAAAGGCGUAGUCGAUGGGAAACAGGUUAAUAUUCCUGUACUUGGUGUUACUGCGAAGGGGGGACGGAGAAGGCUAUGUUAGCCGGGCGACGGUUGUCCCGGUUUAAGCAUGUAGGCUGGUUAUCCAGGCAAAUCCGGAUAAUCAAGGCUGAGGUGUGAUGACGAGGCACUACGGUGCUGAAGUAACAAAUGCCCUGCUUCCAGGAAAAGCCUCUAAGCAUCAGGUAACAUCAAAUCGUACCCCAAACCGACACAGGUGGUCAGGUAGAGAAUACCAAGGCGCUUGAGAGAACUCGGGUGAAGGAACUAGGCAAAAUGGUGCCGUAACUUCGGGAGAAGGCACGCUGGUGUGUAGGUGAAGUCCCUGCGGAUGGAGCUGAGACCAGUCGAAGAUACCAGCUGGCUGCAACUGUUUAUUAAAAACACAGCACUGUGCAAACACGAAAGUGGACGUAUACGGUGUGACGCCUGCCCGGUGCCGGAAGGUUAAUUGAUGGGGUUAUCCGUAAGGAGAAGCUCUUGAUCGAAGCCCCGGUAAACGGCGGCCGUAACUAUAACGGUCCUAAGGUAGCGAAAUUCCUUGUCGGGUAAGUUCCGACCUGCACGAAUGGCGUAAUGAUGGCCAGGCUGUCUCCACCCGAGACUCAGUGAAAUUGAACUCGCUGUGAAGAUGCAGUGUACCCGCGGCAAGACGGAAAGACCCCGUGAACCUUUACUAUAGCUUGACACUGAACAUUGAGCCUUGAUGUGUAGGAUAGGUGGGAGGCUUUGAAGCGUGGACGCCAGUCUGCGUGGAGCCAACCUUGAAAUACCACCCUUUAAUGUUUGAUGUUCUAACGUUGGCCCCUGACCGGGGUUGCGGACAGUGUCUGGUGGGUAGUUUGACUGGGGCGGUCUCCUCCCAAAGCGUAACGGAGGAGCACGAAGGUUAGCUAAUCCUGGUCGGACAUCAGGAGGUUAGUGCAAUGGCAUAAGCUAGCUUGACUGCGAGCGUGACGGCGCGAGCAGGUGCGAAAGCAGGUCAUAGUGAUCCGGUGGUUCUGAAUGGAAGGGCCAUCGCUCAACGGAUAAAAGGUACUCCGGGGAUAACAGGCUGAUACCGCCCAAGAGUUCAUAUCGACGGCGGUGUUUGGCACCUCGAUGUCGGCUCAUCACAUCCUGGGGCUGAAGUAGGUCCCAAGGGUAUGGCUGUUCGCCAUUUAAAGUGGUACGCGAGCUGGGUUUAGAACGUCGUGAGACAGUUCGGUCCCUAUCUGCCGUGGGCGCUGGAGAAUUGAGGGGGGCUGCUCCUAGUACGAGAGGACCGGAGUGGACGCAUCACUGGUGUUCGGGUUGUCAUGCCAAUGGCACUGCCCGGUAGCUAAAUGCGGAAGAGAUAAGUGCUGAAAGCAUCUAAGCACGAAACUUGCCCCGAGAUGAGUUCUCCCUGAGACUUUAAGUCUCCUGAAGGAACGUUGAAGACGACGACGUUGAUAGGCCGGGUGUGUAAGCGCAGCGAUGCGUUGAGCUAACCGGUACUAAUGAACCGUGAGGCUUAACCUUACAACGCCGAAG
RNAcentral lists this ribosomal RNA (2558 nucleotides) under Klebsiella pneumoniae. RNAcentral describes it as "partial 23S ribosomal RNA". It matches the Rfam family "Bacterial large subunit ribosomal RNA", at positions 397 to 2925 of the family's 2925-position model. The record is from RNAcentral. Lineage: Bacteria; Pseudomonadati; Pseudomonadota; Gammaproteobacteria; Enterobacterales; Enterobacteriaceae.